This 73-nucleotide transfer RNA is filed under the name Arcanobacterium sp. Its description in RNAcentral is "tRNA-Arg". It matches the Rfam family "tRNA". From Rfam's summary of the family: Transfer RNA (tRNA) molecules are approximately 80 nucleotides in length. Lineage: Bacteria; Bacillati; Actinomycetota; Actinomycetes; Actinomycetales; Actinomycetaceae. RNAcentral also lists the same sequence under 1 other name. The record is from RNAcentral.
GCCCCCGUAGCUCAGUGGAUAGAGCACGGCUCUCCUAAAGCCGGUGUCGUAGGUUCGAUUCCUAUCGGGGGCA